UACGAAGGGGGCUAGCGUUGCUCGGAAUUACUGGGCGUAAAGGGCGCGUAGGCGGUUCUAUAAGUCAGGCGUGAAAUUCCUGGGCUUAACCUGGGGGCUGCGCUUGAGACUGUGGGACUUGAGGUCAGAAGAGGGUCGUGGAAUUCCCAGUGUAGAGGUGAAAUUCGUAGAUAUUGGGAAGAACACCGGUGGCGAAGGCGGCGACCUGGUCUGAUACUGACGCUGAGGCGCGACAGCGUGGGGAGCAAACGAGGA
This 255-nucleotide ribosomal RNA is filed under the name uncultured bacterium. RNAcentral describes it as "partial 16S ribosomal RNA". It matches the Rfam family "Bacterial small subunit ribosomal RNA", at positions 524 to 778 of the family's 1533-position model. The record is from RNAcentral.